This 253-nucleotide ribosomal RNA is filed under the name uncultured bacterium. Its description in RNAcentral is "partial 16S ribosomal RNA". It matches the Rfam family "Bacterial small subunit ribosomal RNA", at positions 524 to 776 of the family's 1533-position model. The record is from RNAcentral.
UACAGGGGGGGCAAGCGUUGUUCGGAAUUACUGGGCGUAAAGGGCCAGUAGGCGGCCAACUAAGUCCGACGUGAAAUCCCCAAGCUUAACUUGGGAACUGCGUCGGAUACUGGAUGGCUUGAAUUCGGGAGAGGGAUGCAGAAUUCCAGGUGUAGCGGUGAAAUGCGCAGAUAUCAGGAGGAACACCGGUGGCGAAGGCGGGUCUCUGGGCCGAUACUGACGCUGAGGAGCGAAAGCGUGGGGAGCGAACAGG